Phalacrocorax carbo (great cormorant) is the source of this 47-nucleotide non-coding RNA. Lineage: Eukaryota; Metazoa; Chordata; Aves; Suliformes; Phalacrocoracidae. The record is from Rfam.
AAUCCAGAUUUUUUUAAAUCUAUCACAUAUUUGAUAAAAAUAUAUGU